NUUUAAUGAGAGUUUGAUCCUGGCUCAGGACGAACGCUGGCGGCGUGCCUAAUACAUGCAAGUAGAACGCUGAAGAGAGGAGCUUGCUCUUCUUGGAUGAGUUGCGAACGGGUGAGUAACGCGUAGGUAACCUGCCUUGUAGCGGGGGAUAACUAUUGGAAACGAUAGCUAAUACCGCAUAACAAUGGAUGACCCAUGUCAUUUAUUUGAAAGGGGCAAAUGCUCCACUACAAGAUGGACCUGCGUUGUAUUAGCUAGUAGGUGAGGUAACGGCUCACCUAGGCGACGAUACAUAGCCGACCUGAGAGGGUGAUCGGCCACACUGGGACUGAGACACGGCCCAGACUCCUACGGGAGGCAGCAGUAGGGAAUCUUCGGCAAUGGGGGCAACCCUGACCGAGCAACGCCGCGUGAGUGAAGAAGGUUUUCGGAUCGUAAAGCUCUGUUGUAAGUCAAGAACGAGUGUGAGAGUGGAAAGUUCACACUGUGACGGUAGCUUACCAGAAAGGGACGGCUAACUACGUGCCAGCAGCCGCGGUAAUACGUAGGUCCCGAGCGUUGUCCGGAUUUAUUGGGCGUAAAGCGAGCGCAGGCGGUUUGAUAAGUCUGAAGUUAAAGGCUGUGGCUCAACCAUAGUUCGCUUUGGAAACUGUCAAACUUGAGUGCAGAAGGGGAGAGUGGAAUUCCAUGUGUAGCGGUGAAAUGCGUAGAUAUAUGGAGGAACACCGGUGGCGAAAGCGGCUCUCUGGUCUGUAACUGACGCUGAGGCUCGAAAGCGUGGGGAGCGAACAGGAUUAGAUACCCUGGUAGUCCACGCCGUAAACGAUGAGUGCUAGGUGUUGGAUCCUUUCCGGGAUUCAGUGCCGCAGCUAACGCAUUAAGCACUCCGCCUGGGGAGUACGACCGCAAGGUUGAAACUCAAAGGAAUUGACGGGGGCCNGCACAAGCGGUGGAGCAUGUGGUUUAAUUCGAAGCAACGCGAAGAACCUUACCAGGUCUUGACAUCCCGAUGCUAUUUCUAGAGAUAGAAAGUUACUUCGGUACAUCGGUGACAGGUGGNGCAUGGUUGUCGUCAGCUCGUGUCGUGAGAUGUUGGGUUAAGUCCCGCAACGAGCGCAACCCCUAUUGUUAGUUGCCAUCAUUCAGUUGGGCACUCUAGCGAGACUGCCGGUAAUAAACCGGAGGAAGGUGGGGAUGACGUCAAAUCAUCAUGCCCCUUAUGACCUGGGCUACACACGUGCUACAAUGGUUGGUACAACGAGUUGCGAGUCGGUGACGGCAAGCUAAUCUCUUAAAGCCAAUCUCAGUUCGGAUUGUAGGCUGCAACUCGCCUACAUGAAGUCGGAAUCGCUAGUAAUCGCGGAUCAGCACGCCGCGGUGAAUACGUUCCCGGGCCUUGUACACACCGCCCGUCACACCACGAGAGUUUGUAACACCCGAAGUCGGUGAGGUAACCUUUUGGAGCCAGCCGCCUAAGGUGGGAUAGAUGANNGGGGNNNNNNNGUAACAAGNNNNNNGUAUCGGAAGNNNNNNNNNGAUCACCUCCUUUCUA
RNAcentral lists this ribosomal RNA (1552 nucleotides) under Streptococcus salivarius. Its description in RNAcentral is "bacterial SSU rRNA". It matches the Rfam family "Bacterial small subunit ribosomal RNA". The record is from RNAcentral. Lineage: Bacteria; Bacillati; Bacillota; Bacilli; Lactobacillales; Streptococcaceae.